GCCCACUACUAUCAUCCACGUACCACGAGGAAGAUGAGGGAGAGAAAUUAUCCUACCAUUAAAGAGACUGUGCAAAGAAUGUUGAGAACAUCACCACUCUACAGGAAUACACAGUCCAGUAAUGUGUGUCAGAAGUUCAGUAGUGAACGACAGGUAGUACUGACGCAUUUACGGAGAUGGUACAUGAGGGCCUUGUCUGCGUGCCCAAGAGAAGAUUCCACAGAGUUCAAGCUGAGCAGGCUGCAGCAGGUUUGGAUGAAUCCUCCUCUGAAGAGGAAACAU
Long non-coding RNA from Limanda limanda (common dab), 282 nucleotides. RefSeq lists it as uncharacterized. The record is from RefSeq and is a predicted model, not a curated record. The transcript is spliced from 3 exons. Lineage: Eukaryota; Metazoa; Chordata; Actinopteri; Pleuronectiformes; Pleuronectidae.